UGGGGAAUUUUGCGCAAUGGGGGAAACCCUGACGCAGCAACGCCGCGUGCGGGAUGACGGCCUUCGGGUUGUAAACCGCUUUCAGCAGGGAAGAUUAUGACGGUACCUGCAGAAGAAGCCCCGGCUAACUACGUGCCAGCAGCCGCGGUAAUACGUAGGGGGCAAGCGUUAUCCGGAUUCAUUGGGCGUAAAGAGCGCGUAGGCGGACGUUUAAGCAGAAUCUCUAAUCUGAGGGCUCAACCCCCAGCCGGAUUCUGAACUGGAUGUCUCGAGUUUGGUAGAGGAAGAUGGAAUUCCCGGUGUAGCGGUGGAAUGCGCAGAUAUCGGGAAGAACACCGAUGGCGAAGGCAGUCUUCUGGGCCAUAACUGACGCUGAGGCGCGAAAGCUAGGGGAGCAAACAGG
RNAcentral lists this ribosomal RNA (403 nucleotides) under uncultured bacterium. RNAcentral's name for it is "bacterial SSU rRNA". It matches the Rfam family "Bacterial small subunit ribosomal RNA", at positions 355 to 776 of the family's 1533-position model. The record is from RNAcentral.